Lycium ferocissimum is the source of this 1034-nucleotide long non-coding RNA. RefSeq lists it as uncharacterized. The record is from RefSeq and is a predicted model, not a curated record. Lineage: Eukaryota; Viridiplantae; Streptophyta; Magnoliopsida; Solanales; Solanaceae. The transcript has 5 exons.
CUCAUAAAAUAAUGACUAGUUGGCCACAUUGAAACAGCAGCAAGCCCAAGAGACCCGUUAAACCCAAACCAACCACAGUCCGUGCCUCCCCUAUAUAAAGCCCUCUAUUCACCAGGCAGAUGUUUUUCCUGCCUUUCUCUCUCCUCUCUCUUUCCAUCUCUACAAAACUAUUUUUACAGAUCAUAAACUUUUUGAAAGUCAUGGCAUGUAACGAGAGAGCAUUGUGGAAAAGUAGUUGCUUAAUUAGUUUCAUUUUUCUACUGGAAUUUUUUGCGUUUAUACGGACUUCGGUUUUCGAACUACCUUUAAUUUGCGUCAUAUUUAAUUUUUCUUCUAUCACGUAUUUUAGUAAACAACUUGUUGGUCGUAAUCAUAUUUUAAUUGCUUAAUUGUUUUUCUACAGAUCAUAAGUAUUUGGAAGACAUAGCAUAUAAUAACGACCCAGCAUUUGUGGAAAAGCCGUUGCUUAUUUUCUCAGAUCAUAAGUUUUAAAAGAUACUAAUAUGUGAUCACACUUCCAGCAUUGUGGAAAUUCGGUUGCUUCGUUUUUCAGCACUUGAAUGCUGAAGUUCGACAUUGGUGUGAAAUGGACUUUGUUUAUCCCUGCUAAAGACUAUUGCACAUAAAGCAUAUUGAUGCAACUUUGAGUGGUGUCCAAAUCAAGUUGCUCCCGCCUUGACUAUUCCACCGAAAAGCUUGCUGCAGCCCACCUUACAGGUGUCCAGAGAUCAGCUCACCAUGGUAGCAUUUAUAGGUACUGUGCGUUAUAGCUUAGCUUUGAACCUGAGAUCUUAGGUUGUUACUCCUAUGCCUCAAACUACUCUAGAAUUCCCUUGGUGUUUCAUAAAUUAUGUCCAACGGCAUGAACUUGUUAUGAUAGAAACCUUAGUUAUGCAUAUUUUUCUUUUACUAGUUAACUGUAAAUUAACCAGUGAAACUUACCCUAACCUCAGAAGUUGGAGUUGCCAAUUGAUGAUUCUCCUCCUUUGUUUUGUUGUAUCUUUCAAUCACCGACUUCAUGCUGUAAAAGUAAA